CUGAAAACACCGGUUCUUCUUCUAUCACCGAAGUUAAGCAGCCUCGAGCUUGGUCAGUAUUUAGAUGGAUGACCUCUUGAGAAUUCCGGGUACUGCAAG
This is a non-coding RNA of Acanthosepion pharaonis, 99 nucleotides long. Lineage: Eukaryota; Metazoa; Mollusca; Cephalopoda; Sepiida; Sepiidae. The record is from the annotation of a GenBank genome assembly.